RNAcentral lists this unclassified non-coding RNA (254 nucleotides) under uncultured Gemmatimonadota bacterium. Its description in RNAcentral is "uncultured Gemmatimonadetes bacterium contains 16S-23S intergenic spacer region". It matches the Rfam family "Bacterial small subunit ribosomal RNA", at positions 524 to 776 of the family's 1533-position model. The record is from RNAcentral. Lineage: Bacteria; Pseudomonadati; Gemmatimonadota.
UACGGAGGGUGCAAGCGUUGUCCGGAAUUAUUGGGCGUAAAGAGCACGUAGGUGGCGACUCAAGUCUCACUGUGAAAGUCUGCGGCUCAACCGCAGGAGGCCAGGGGAUACUGAGUUGCUAGAGACAGGUAGAGGCCAGCGGAAUUCCGGGUGUAGCGGUGGAAUGCGUAGAGAUCCGGAAGAACACCAGUGGCGAAGGCGGCUGGCUGGGCCUGUUCUGACACUGAGGUGCGAAAGCGUGGGGAGCAAACAGG